AGAGGUGCCAGGCCACAUGCCCCGCCCACCUCUACCAGCUAUGCCGCCUCUGAAGUUCCUCCAGCGGCACUGAGGAGGGGCCCUGUGGUCGAGGGUGCAGUUAAACGAGGCCCGACCAGGUGGUUGAGCUCAGCUUGGCUGUACUUGUCUUCCUUGGACCUGCUGGGCACCCCCAGAGAACUGCUCCGGUGAAAUGGGCCAUGGUCUCGGAGUCGUCUAUGCACCACCCCCCACGACCCAGCUGGUCAGAGCUGUGCCCCCGCCUCCCCGACCACACAGUCAGCCCAUCCACAGGCUCCGUCCAAGGCCUCCUGCCUAUCCAGCCCUGCACAAAGGAGCGGGGCAGCAGCAGGGUGUUCUUUGAUUCCACAGACCUCCAGCGACAUCUCCUCUGUGCCAGGACCUCAGCUGCCCACAGGGA
RNAcentral lists this long non-coding RNA (421 nucleotides) under Pan troglodytes (chimpanzee). RNAcentral describes it as "long non-coding RNA NONPTRT002765". Lineage: Eukaryota; Metazoa; Chordata; Mammalia; Primates; Hominidae. The record is from RNAcentral.